This 466-nucleotide ribosomal RNA is filed under the name Vreelandella stevensii. RNAcentral describes it as "partial 16S ribosomal RNA". It matches the Rfam family "Bacterial small subunit ribosomal RNA", at positions 338 to 795 of the family's 1533-position model. The record is from RNAcentral. Lineage: Bacteria; Pseudomonadati; Pseudomonadota; Gammaproteobacteria; Oceanospirillales; Halomonadaceae.
CCUACGGGGGGCUGCAGUGGGGAAUAUUGGACAAUGGGCGAAAGCCUGAUCCAGCCAUGCCGCGUGUGUGAAGAAGGCCUUCGGGUUGUAAAGCACUUUCAGUGGGGAAGAAAGCCUUGGGGCUAAUACCCUCGAGGAAGGACAUCACCCACAGAAGAAGCACCGGCUGAACUCCGUGCCAGCAGCCGCGGUAAUACGGAGGGUGCGAGCGUUAAUCGGAAUUACUGGGCGUAAAGCGCGCGUAGGCGGUCUGAUAAGCCGGUUGUGAAAGCCCCGGGCUCAACCUGGGAACGGCAUCCGGAACUGUCAGGCUAGAGUGCAGGAGAGGAAGGUAGAAUUCCCGGUGUAGCGGUGAAAUGCGUAGAGAUCGGGAGGAAUACCAGUGGCGAAGGCGGCCUUCUGGACUGACACUGACGCUGAGGUGCGAAAGCGUGGGUAGCAAACAGGAUUAGAUACCCUAGUAGUC